GUACACGCUGUGACUAGCAUAUCAAUAAGCGGAGGAAAAGAAACUAACAAGGAUUCCCCUAGUAACGGCGAGUGAAGCGGGAAGAGCUCAAAUUUGAAAUCUUAAAGGGUUUCCCUUUACGAAUUGUAGUUUAAAGGAAGUGUUUUCUGUUGAGGUUUUGGUAAAAGUUCUUUGGAAUAGGACAUCAUAGAGGGUGAGAAUCCCGUAUUUGACCCUUUACUUUCAACUUUGUGAUACACUUUCAAAGAGUCGGAUUGUUUGGGAAUGCAGUCCAAAAUGGGUGGUAAAUUUCAUCUAAAGCUAAAUAUUGGCGAGAGACCGAUAGCGAACAAGUACCGUGAGGGAAAGAUGAAAAGAACUUUGAAAAGAGAGUUAAACAGUACGUGAAAUUGUCAAAAGGGAAGCGUUUGACACCAGUGUUGUUUUUCUGAAAAUCAAUUAAAGAACUGUUUAUGCUAAGCUGUUUAGACUUUAUCAGCUAAUCUGUUUAGUUUUGAGCUUUUCUUUAAUGCACUUUUCAGUUAACAAGUCAACAUCAAUUUCUUUUGCUGUAAAAAAGCUUGAGGAAGGUGGCUUGAGAUUCGUCUUAAGUGUUUAUAGCCUCUUGCCUAUGCAGUCGGAGAGAUUGAGGUCUGCAGCGUAGAUCCUUCGGGGCUAAAUGCAUUUGUGCUAAGUUAUAGCAUUUUAUAGACAACUUGUUGACUAUGAUUUGUCUUGUAGCUUACUCGCUUAUGUUAUUUUACCUACGCUUAGGAUGUUGAUAUGCAUGACUGAUAU
RNAcentral lists this ribosomal RNA (777 nucleotides) under uncultured Neocallimastigales. Its description in RNAcentral is "partial large subunit ribosomal RNA". It matches the Rfam family "Eukaryotic large subunit ribosomal RNA", at positions 22 to 640 of the family's 3401-position model. The record is from RNAcentral. Lineage: Eukaryota; Fungi; Neocallimastigomycota; Neocallimastigomycetes; Neocallimastigales.